AUUGAACGCUGGCGGCAUGCUUUACACAUGCAAGUCGAACGGUAACAGGUUAAGCUGACGAGUGGCGAACGGGUGAGUAAUGCAUCGGAACGUGCCCGGUCGUGGGGGAUAACGCAGCGAAAGCUGCGCUAAUACCGCAUACGAUCUGAGGAUGAAAGCGGGGGACCGUAAGGCCUCGCGCGAUCGGAGCGGCCGAUGUCAGAUUAGGUAGUUGGUGGGGUAAAGGCUCACCAAGCCGACGAUCUGUAGCUGGUCUGAGAGGACGAACAGCCACACUGGGGAUGAGAAACGGCCUAGACUCCUUCUGGAGGGAGCAGUGGGGAAUUUUGGACAAUGUGCGCAAGCCUGAUCCAGCAAUGCCGCGUGCAGGAAGGAGGCCUUCGGGUUGUAAACUGCUUUUGUACGGGGCGAAAAGGCUCUCUCUAAUACAGGGGGCUCAUGACGGUACCGUAAGAAUAAGCACCGGCUAACUACGUGCCAGCAGCCGCGGUAA
RNAcentral lists this ribosomal RNA (493 nucleotides) under uncultured bacterium. RNAcentral's name for it is "partial 16S ribosomal RNA". It matches the Rfam family "Bacterial small subunit ribosomal RNA", at positions 30 to 523 of the family's 1533-position model. The record is from RNAcentral.